GUGCUCACUUCGGCAGCACAUAUACUAAAAUUGGAAUGAUACAGAGAAGAUUAGCAUGGCUCCUGUGCAAGGAUGACACGCAAAUUCAUGAAUCGUUCCAUAAAAAA
Molecule: small nuclear RNA, 107 nt
Organism: Castor canadensis (American beaver)
Lineage: Eukaryota; Metazoa; Chordata; Mammalia; Rodentia; Castoridae
Source: Ensembl